AGGCACCACAACGGGUGGAGCUUGCGGUUUAAUUUGGAUUCAACGCCGGAAAUCUUACCGGGACCGACAGCAAUAUGAAGGCCAGGCUGAAGACUUUGCCGGAUUAGCUGAGAGGUGGUGCAUGGCCGUCGUCAGUUCGUACUGUGAAGCAUCCUGUUAAGUCAGGCAACGAGCGAGACCCACGCCCACAGUUGCCAGCGUACUCUCUGGAGUGACGGGUACACUGUGGGACCGCCGCUGCUAAAGCGGAGGAAGGAAUGGGCAACGGUAGGUCAGUAUGCCCCGAAUAUCCCGGGCUACACGCGAGCUACAAUGGUUGGUACAAUGGGUAUCUACCCCGAAAGGGGACGGGAAUCUCCUAAAACCAAUCUUAGUUCGGAUUGAGGGCUGCAACUCGCCCUCAUGAAGCUGGAAUCCGUAGUAAUCGCGUUUCAACAGAACGCGGUGAAUACGUCCCUGCUCCUU
This 465-nucleotide ribosomal RNA is filed under the name uncultured Methanosaeta sp. RNAcentral's name for it is "bacterial SSU rRNA". It matches the Rfam family "Archaeal small subunit ribosomal RNA", at positions 874 to 1338 of the family's 1478-position model. Lineage: Archaea; Methanobacteriati; Methanobacteriota; Methanomicrobia; Methanotrichales; Methanotrichaceae. The record is from RNAcentral.